This 253-nucleotide ribosomal RNA is filed under the name uncultured bacterium. RNAcentral describes it as "partial 16S ribosomal RNA". It matches the Rfam family "Bacterial small subunit ribosomal RNA", at positions 524 to 776 of the family's 1533-position model. The record is from RNAcentral.
UACGUAGGUCGCAAGCGUUGUCCGGAAUUAUUGGGCGUAAAGAGCUCGUAGGCGGCUUGUCACGUCGAUUGUGAAAGCCCGAGGCUUAACCUCGGGUCUGCAGUCGAUACGGGCUAGCUAGAGUGUGGUAGGGGAGAUCGGAAUUCCUGGUGUAGCGGUGAAAUGCGCAGAUAUCAGGAGGAACACCGGUGGCGAAGGCGGAUCUCUGGGCCAUUACUGACGCUGAGGAGCGAAAGCGUGGGGAGCGAACAGG